This 138-nucleotide non-coding RNA is filed under the name Gemmatimonas sp. The record is from RNAcentral. Lineage: Bacteria; Pseudomonadati; Gemmatimonadota; Gemmatimonadia; Gemmatimonadales; Gemmatimonadaceae.
GGAAGCCGGUGAGAACCCGGCACGGCCCCGCCACUGUGUGAGGCCCGGCAAAGCGCCGGAAGAAGCUCGCUCGACACGCCACUGGAACCCUCUAGAAAGUUCUGGGAAGGCGAGCUGGGCUGCCUCGAGUCAGGAGAC